This 253-nucleotide ribosomal RNA is filed under the name uncultured bacterium. Its description in RNAcentral is "partial 16S ribosomal RNA". It matches the Rfam family "Bacterial small subunit ribosomal RNA", at positions 524 to 776 of the family's 1533-position model. The record is from RNAcentral.
CACGGGGGGGGCAAGCGUUGUUCGGAAUCACUGGGCGUAAAGGGCGUGUAGGCGGUCAGGUAAGUGGGAUGUGAAAUGCCCCGGCUCACCCGGGGACCGGCAUCCCAUACUGCUUGGCUUGAGUACGGGAGAGGAUGUGGGAAUUCCUGGUGCAGCGGUGAAAUGCGUAGAUAUCAGGAGGAACACCGGUGGCGAAGGCGCACAUCUGGCCCGAUACUGACGCUGAGGCGCGAAAGCUAGGGGAGCAAACGGG